GUGACCUCAGUGUGACCCAUCUCAUAAAAAUCCGGUGACCACAAUGCGCAUGGAUGUCCUUAAAAUAAACUAUUAUCUGAACAUACAUGUUAAACACGUGAUCAAUUUCCAUGCUUUUUUGUUUAUUUUUCGUCUAUUGUUGACAAACAGGUGACAAUCGUUAAACUUCGGAUUCAAAACACGAACUUUAAUUACCUGCCAUAUUUUCACAACAACAUGAUCGGUUGGAAAAAAAAUUGACGAUUAUACGAAAUGUACACG
Molecule: long non-coding RNA, 261 nt
Filed under: Mytilus galloprovincialis (Mediterranean mussel)
Lineage: Eukaryota; Metazoa; Mollusca; Bivalvia; Mytilida; Mytilidae
Source: RNAcentral